This 439-nucleotide ribosomal RNA is filed under the name uncultured bacterium. RNAcentral's name for it is "partial 16S ribosomal RNA". It matches the Rfam family "Bacterial small subunit ribosomal RNA", at positions 339 to 795 of the family's 1533-position model. The record is from RNAcentral.
CUACGGGGCGCUGCAGCGGGGAAUAUUGCACAAUGGAGGAAACUCUGAUGCAGCAACGCCGCGUGGAGGAUGACACUUUUCGGAGCGUAAACUCCUUUUAUAUAGGAAGAUAAUGACGGUACUAUGUGAAUAAGCACCGGCUAACUCCGUGCCAGCAGCCGCGGUAAUACGGAGGGUGCAAGCGUUACUCGGAAUCACUGGGCGUAAAGAGCGUGUAGGCGGGUUAAUAAGUCAGAAGUGAAAUCCUAUGGCUCAACCAUAGAACUGCUUUUGAAACUGUUAACCUAGAGUGUGGGAGAGGUAGAUGGAAUUUCUGGUGUAGGGGUAAAAUCCGUAGAGAUCAGAAGGAAUACCGAUUGCGAAGGCGAUCUACUGGAACAUAACUGACGCUGAGACGCGAAAGCGUGGGGAGCAAACAGGAUUAGAUACCCCUGUAGUC